Molecule: transfer RNA, 70 nt
Filed under: Marmota monax (woodchuck)
Lineage: Eukaryota; Metazoa; Chordata; Mammalia; Rodentia; Sciuridae
Description: tRNA.Val
Source: RNAcentral
GGAAUAUAGCUCAGGAUGGUAGAGUCCUUGCCUCACAUGCAUAAGGCCCUGGGUUCGAUCCCCAGCACCA